Molecule: ribosomal RNA, 503 nt
Filed under: uncultured bacterium
Lineage: Bacteria
Description: bacterial SSU rRNA
Rfam family: Bacterial small subunit ribosomal RNA
Source: RNAcentral
AUCCUGGCUCAGGAUGAACGCUAGCUACAGGCUUAACACAUGCAAGUCGAGGGGAAACGAUGCGGAAGCUUGCUUCUGCAGGCGUCGACCGGCGCACGGGUGAGUAACGCGUAUCCAACCUGCCCCGAGGUAAGGAAUAAUCCGUAGAAAUGCGGUCUAAUACCUUAUGUGUUCCGAAGAGGACAUCUGAUUUGGAAUAAAGAUUUAUCGCCAUGGGAUGGGGAUGCGUCUGAUUAGAUUGUUGGCGGGGCAACGGCCCACCAAGUCAUCGAUCAGUAGGGGUUCUGAGAGGAAAGUCCCCCACAUUGGAACUGAGACACGGUCCAAACUCCUACGGGAGGCAGCAGUGAGGAAUAUUGGUCAAUGGAUGAGAAUCUGAACCAGCCAAGUAGCGUGCAGGAUGACGGCCCUAUGGGUUGUAAACUGCUUUUGUACGGGGAUAAAGGAAGCUACGUGUAGCUUUUGCAGGUACCGUACGAAUAAGGACCGGCUAAUUCCGUGCC